RNAcentral lists this ribosomal RNA (397 nucleotides) under uncultured bacterium. Its description in RNAcentral is "partial 16S ribosomal RNA". It matches the Rfam family "Bacterial small subunit ribosomal RNA", at positions 523 to 918 of the family's 1533-position model. The record is from RNAcentral.
AUACGUAGGUGACAAGCGUUAUCCGGAUUUACUGGGCGUAAAGGGCGUGUAGGCGGUCUUGCAAGUCAGAAGUGAAAUUCCUGAGCUCAACUCGGGCGCUGCUUCUGAAACUGCAGGACUUGAGUGCUGGAGAGGUUAUCGGAAUUCCCGGUGUAGCGGUGAAAUGCGUAGAGAUCGGGAGGAACACCAGUGGCGAAGGCGGGUAACUGGACUGCAACUGACGCUGAGGCGCGAAAGUGUGGGGAGCAAACAGGAUUAGAUACCCUGGUAGUCCACACUGUAAACGAUGAAUGCUAGGUGUAAGAGGUAUCGACCCCUUUUGUGCCGGAGUCAACACAAUAAGCAUUCCGCCUGGGGAGUACGGCCGCAAGGUUGAAACUCAAAGGAAUUGACGGGG